CUGUGCUAGCGUCCCGUCUUGGCCCGACUGGUGCCAAUGUGUGUAUGCUAGUGUGCUUCUAAAGUUCACAUUUCCAUAAAAGGGACUACUCACAACAAAGUAGAGAGCUGGUUUUGCUUCUGCCUACCCACGGGCAAACCAGACGAAAGGUUCGUGUAUCGAAUAUUAUAAUUUGUUUACCCAGUAUAUCUGUAAUAAAGCCAAUUUCUUGAAGCUGUUGUCAUAUAUUGAUCUGGUUCCGUUUUAGCCAUGAUUCAUAACAGUCUAGGCGAUUUUGCUCCCUCAUCUCGGUUCAUCUCCUCCCCACUCGUAAUAAAAUACAACAGGGUAGGAAGCUCCACGCCCUGGCAAACACAUCUUCGACUUUCUUUUUCGGCAGAAAACGCACAGCUUUUCCCUUCAAAAUCAAUCAUAGAAGAAUAGUUUCUAAACAAACCUUUCGAAAAAAAAAUAUUCCAAAAUACCAGAAUUUCCCUGCAAUUUUUCGCUGCAAUAUCGAAAUUAAUCGUUCUUCCAGGGCUGACAAACAGUCGGUCCCCUGAGCGCGGUCGGGGCCUGGACACAAUACAUAAAUCAAAUGUCUCAUCACAUUGCAUUGUAUUUUCUAUUGUGCCCAGGCCCCGACCGACCGAUCUUUUUCAGCGCGCUUUUGAAAAAGGUCUUAUAUUUUAUAUACUUUUAUUUUUUAAUCGCAAAUUGAAUUAUUUCUAAUUCUAUGUAAGUUUAUAACAUGACAAUAAUGCCAUUUUUAUCCUUUGGAUCUUUAAGAGAAAAUUGCUAUAUAAAUCUAUUUAUUAUUAAUAUUAUUGUUCCUUGAAUUCGUAUGACAGAUUACUCGUCCACUUAUCUUGUAGUUGAUCUGGUAGGAUUUCGUCCCAUGAAUAUCCAACAUUCCAAAUUUCUUGUAGGUCGAUGAUGGUGAAGAUGACCUGUGCGAGGCACUAGAGAGGCUCUCCAUUGAUGAGGGACGAGAUGCGAACCAGACGGGCUGGCUAACAUUUACAUUCAGGGUGGUGAAGAGUAUUUUCGUGAUUCGUGAUUGACCCUAAAUUAAACCCGUGAUUCGUGAAAAGCCUAAAAAUAAACCCGUAAUUCGUGAUUGAGUACUCUAUCGUGAUCCGUGAUUGGGGUAUUUUUACUUUCGUGACUCGUGAUUUCGCAUGGCUAAAUUCGUGAAACGUGACCGUUGACGCCGAAAAUAAUUAAAACACGAAUACAUGUAAGAGAUUUCCGAAUAAACAUGACCUUUGUUUAGAUUGUUGACCUCUUGCUGUGCUAGUUUUUAAAAUAAAUAUAAAUAUCCGAUGUAUCAAGUGUCUUAGUUUGUGUGACACUACUCCACCAAUACUUGACAGCGCUAUUGUUUUAUCUUAAGUAUGAUUGGUUAAGUAACAUAAAUCCAGGUCAGUUUUGACGGACUCGUCAAACGCUAACGAUAGUCCAGUCAUUUUUCGAAGCUUGCAUUGUUGCAUAAACGUGGCGUAUUUACAAAGAUCACGACUUAUACCUUGCAUCGUGGAUGGAGAGUUCUGAUCCUAGCGUCAAAGUUAUUUUGACGUUCUACUUAACUCAGCAAGAGAAAACAGAGACAAAAUCUGCUGUAGUACACAAGGAAAAAUUAAAUGUCCCCUUGUCGAUCGAGAAGCAUAAAGUAUUUGAAGUAUUCAAGAAACAUCUGAUUUCAUUUACAACACUGUAGGAAAUCGUCCUUAGUAAAGGUCUCGGGGCAAAUCCCGAAGUAACAGUCGUAAGAAUACAGAAGGGAGGCGCCUCGAUUGAAGCAUAUAGUAUAAGGACGCAGGAUUCGUGGGAG
Nematostella vectensis (starlet sea anemone) is the source of this 1813-nucleotide long non-coding RNA. RefSeq lists it as uncharacterized. The transcript is spliced from 3 exons. The record is from RefSeq and is a predicted model, not a curated record. NCBI's taxonomy places the organism in Eukaryota, Metazoa, Cnidaria, Anthozoa, Actiniaria, Edwardsiidae.